RNAcentral lists this ribosomal RNA (419 nucleotides) under bacterium. RNAcentral's name for it is "partial 16S ribosomal RNA". It matches the Rfam family "Bacterial small subunit ribosomal RNA", at positions 355 to 775 of the family's 1533-position model. The record is from RNAcentral.
UGGGGGAUAUUGCACAAUGGGCGAAAGCCUGAUGCAGCGACGCCGCGUGGGGGAUGAAGGCUUUCGGGUUGUAAACCUCUUUCGCUAUCGAACAAGGCCCGCUUAGGGUGGGUUGAGGGUAUGUGGAGAAGAAGCGCCGGCUAACUACGUGCCAGCAGCCGCGGUAAUACGUAGGGCGCGAGCGUUGUCCGGAAUUAUUGGGCGUAAAGGGCUUGUAGGCGGCUUGUUGCGCCUGCUGUGAAGACGCGGGGCUUAACUUCGCGCGUGCAGUGGGUACGGGCAGGCUUGAGUGUGGUAGGGGUGACUGGAAUUCCAGGUGUAGCGGUGGAAUGCGCAGAUAUCUGGAGGAACACCGAUGGCGAAGGCAGGUCACUGGGCCAUUACUGACGCUGAGGAGCGAAAGCAUGGGUAGCGAACAG